CCACAACUGCUGCUCCAACAACCACAACUGCAGCUCCAACAACAACAACUGCAGCCCCAACAACAACCACAACUGCUCCCCCAACAACAACAACAACAGCUGCCCCAACAACAACCACAACAACUGCAGUCCCAACAACAACUACUACAGCUGCACCGACAACAACAACUGCAGCUCCAACAACAACUACUGCUGCCCCAACAACAACCACAACAGCCGCCCCAACAACAACAGCUACUGCUGCCCCAACAACAACAACUACAGCUGCCCCAACAACCACAACAGCCGCCCCAACAACAACCACAACAGCUGCACCGACAACAACAACAACAACUACAGCUGCCCCAACAACGACUACAGCUGCCCCAACAACAACCACAACUGCUGCCCCAACAACAACAACUGCAGCUGCCCCAACAACAACUGCAGCCCCAACAACAACUACUACAGCUGCCCCAACAACAACUGCUACAGCUGCACCGACAACAACAACAACAACUGCAGCCCCAACAACAACCACAACUGCCGCCCCAACAACAACCACAACUGCUGCUCCAACAACCACAACUGCAGUUCCAACAACAACAACUAAUGCUGCCCCAACAACAACCACAACUGCUGCUCCCCCAACAACAACAACUACAUCUGCCCCAACAACAACCACAACUGCUGCUCCAACAACAACAACUGCAGCUGCCCCAACAACAACCACAACUGCUGCUCCAACAACCACAACUGCAGCUCCAACAACAACAACUGCAGCCCCAACAACAACAACUACAGCUGCACCCACAACAACCACAACUGCUGCGCCAACAACAACUACAGCUGCCCCAACAACAACUACAGCUGCCCCAACAACAACAACUGCAGCCCCAACAACAACCACAACUGCUCCCCCAACAACAACAACUACAUCUGCCCCAACAACAACCACAACUGCUGCUCCAACAACCACAACUGCAGUUCCAACAACAACAACUACAGCUGCCCCAACAACAACCACAACAGCCGCCCCAACAACAACAACUACUGCUGCCCCAACAACAACAACAGCUGCCCCAACAACAACAACUACUGCUGCCCCAACAACAACCACAACAGCCGCCCCAACAACAACAGCUACUGCUGCCCCAACAACAACAACUACAGCUGCCCCAACAACCACAACAGCUGCCCCAACAACAACUACUACAGCUGCACCGACAACAACAACAACAACUGCAGCCCCAACAACAACCACAACUGCUGCUCCAACAACAACAACUACAUCUGCCCCAACAACAACCACAACUGCUGCUCCAACAACCACAACUGCAUCUGCCCCAACAACAACCACAACUGCUGCUCCAACAACCACAACUGCAGCGCCAACAACAACUGCAGCCCCAACAACAACCACAACAACUGCAGUCCCAACAACAACUACAGCUGCCCCAACAACAACUACAGCUGCCCCAACAACAACAACUGCAGCCCCAACAACAACCACAACUGCUCCCCCAACAACAACAACUACAUCUGCCCCAACAACAACCACAACUGCUGCUCCAACAACCACAACUGCAGUUCCAACAACAACAACUACAGCUGCCCCAACAACAACAACUACAGCUGCCCCAACAACAACCACAACUGCUGCCCCAACAACAACAACAGCUGCCCCAACAACAACCACAACAACUGCAGUCCCAACAACAACAACUAAUGCUGCCCCAACAACAACCACAACAGCCGCCCCAACAACCACAGCUACUGCUGCCCCAACAACAACAACUACAGCUGCCCCAACAACCACAACAGCUGCCCCAACAACAACAACUACAGCUGCCCCAACAACAACAACAACAACUGCAGCCCCAACAACAACCACAACUGCAGCCCCAACAACAACCACAACUGCUCCCCCAACAACAACAACAACUACAUCUGCCCCAACAACAACCACAACUGCUGCUCCAACAACCACAACUGCAGUUCCAACAACAACCACUAAUGCUGCCACAACAACAACCACAACAGCCGCCCCAACAACCACAGCUACUGCUGCCCCAACAACAACAAGUACAGCUGCCCCAACAACCACAACAGCUGCCCCAACAACAACUACUACAGCUGCACCGACAACAACCACAACAGCCGCCCCAACAACAACAGCUACUGCUGCCCCAACAACAACAACAGCUGCCCCAACAACAACCACAACAACUGCAGUCCCAACAACAACUACUACAGCUGCACCGACAACAACCACAACUGCUGCGCCAACAACAACAACUGCAGCUCCAACAACAACAACUAAUGCUGCCCCAACAACAACCACAACAGCCGCCCCAACAACAACAGCUACUGCUGCCCCAACAACAACAAGUACAGCUGCCCCAACAACCACAACAGCAGCCCCAACAACAACUACUACAGCUGCACCGACAACAACAACAACAACUGCAGCCCCAACAACAACCACAACAGCCGCCCCAACAACAACUACAGCUGCCCCAACAACAACAACUGCAGCCCCAACAACAACCACAACUGCUGCUCCAACAACCACAACUGCAGCUCCAACAACAACAACUGCAGCCCCAACAACAACCACAACUGCUCCCCCAACAACAACAACUACAUCUGCCCCAACAACAACCACAACUGCUGCUCCAACAACCACAACUGCAGUUCCAACAACAACAACUACAGCUGCCCCAACAACAGCCACAACAGCCGCCCCAACAACAACAGCUACUGCUGCCUCAACAACAACAACAGCUGCCCCAACAACAACCACAACAACUGCAGUCCCAACAACAACUACUACAGCUGCACCGACAACAACCACAACUGCUGCGCCAACAACAACAACUGCAGCUCCAACAACAACAACUAAUGCUGCCCCAACAACAACCACAACAGCCGCCCCAACAACAACAGCUACUGCUGCCCCAACAACAACAAGUACAGCUGCCCCAACAACCACAACAGCAGCCCCAACAACAACUACUACAGCUGCACCGACAACAACAACAACAACUGCAGCCCCAACAACAACCACAACAGCCGCCCCAACAACAACUACAGCUGCCCCAACAACAACAACUGCAGCCCCAACAACAACCACAACUGCUGCUCCAACAACCACAACUGCAGCUCCAACAACAACAACUGCAGCCCCAACAACAACCACAACUGCUCCCCCAACAACAACAACUACAUCUGCCCCAACAACAACCACAACUGCUGCUCCAACAACCACAACUGCAGUUCCAACAACAACAACUACAGCUGCCCCAACAACAACAACAACAGCCGCCCCAACAACAACAGCUACUGCUGCCCCAACAACAACAACAGCUGCCCCAACAACAACCACAACAACUGCAGUCCCAACAACUACUACAGCUGCACCGACAACAACCACAACUGCUGCGCCAACAACAACAACUGCAGCUCCAACAACAACAACUAAUGCUGCCCCAACAACAACCACAACAGCCGCCCCAACAACAACAGCUACAGCUGCCCCAACAACAACAACUACAGCUGCCCCAACAACGACUACAGCCGCCCCAACAACAACCACAACAGCCGCCCCAACAACAACUACAGCUGCCCCAACAACAACAACUGCAGCCCCAACAACAACCACAACUGCUGCUCCAACAACCACAACUGCAGCUCCAACAACAACAACUGCAGCCCCAACAACAACCACAACUGCUCCCCCAACAACAACAACUACAUCUGCCCCAACAACAACCACAACUGCUGCUCCAACAACCACAACUGCAGUUCCAACAACAACAACUACAGCUGCCCCAACAACAACCACAACAGCCGCCCCAACAACAACAACUACUGCUGCCCCAACAACAACAACUACAGCUGCCCCAACAACCACAACAGCCGCCCCAACAACAACAGCUACUGCUGCCCCAACAACAACAAGUACAGCUGCCCCAACAACCACAACAGCCGCCCCAACAACAACAACUACAGCCCCAACAACAACCACAACAGCCGCCCCAACAACAACAGCUACUGCUGCCCCAACAACAACAAGUACUGCAGCCCCAACAACAACCACAACAGCCGCCCCAACAACAACAGCUACUGCUGCCCCAACAACAACAACUACAGCUGCCCCAACAACCACAACAGCCGCCCCAACAACAACAACUACAGCUGCCCCAACAACAACAACUACAGCUGCCCCAACAACAACCACAACUGCUGCCCCAACAACAACAACUACUGCUGCCCCAACAACAACCACAACAACUGCAGUCCCAACAACUACUACAGCUGCACCGACAACAACCACAACUGCUGCGCCAACAACAACAACUGCAGCUCCAACAACAACAACUAAUGCUGCCCCAACAACAACCACAACAGCCGCCCCAACAACAACAGCUACUGCUGCCCCAACAACAACAAGUACAGCUGCCCCAACAACAACCACAACUGCUGCCCCAACAACAACAACUACAGCUGCCCCAACAACAACCACAACAGCCGCCCCAACAACAACAACUGCAGCUGCCCCAACAACAACCACAACUGCUGCUCCAACAACAACAACUGCAGCUCCAACAACAACAACCACAACAGCCGCCCCAACAACAACAACUGCAGCUGCCCCAACAACAACAACUACUGCUGCCCCAACAACAACAACAACUGCAGCUCCAACAACAACAACUAAUGCUGCCCCAACAACAACCACAACAGCCGCCCCAACAACAACAACUACAGCUGCCCCAACAACAACAAGUACAGCUGCCCCAACAACAACCACAACUGCUGCCCCAACAACAACAACUGCAGCUGCCCCAACAACAACCACAACAGCCGCCCCAACAACAACAACUGCAGCUGCCCCAACAACAACCACAACUGCUGCCCCAACAACAACAACUGCAGCUCCAACAACAACAACUACAGCUGCCCCAACAACAACCACAACUGCUGCCCCAACAACAACAACUACAGCUGCCCCAACAACAACAACAACUGCCGCCCCAACAACAACCACAACUGCCGCCACAACAACAACAACUACAGCUGCCCCAACAACAACCACAACAGCUGCCCCAACAACAACCACAACUGCUGCCCCAACAACAACCACAACUGCUGCGCCAACAACAACUACAGCUGCCCCAACAACAACUACUACAGCUGCACCAACAACAACCACAACUGCUGCGCCAACAACAACAACUACAGCUACUGCUGCCCCAACAACAACAACUACAGCUGCCCCAACAACAACCACAACAGCCGCCCCAACAACAACAACUGCAGCUGCCCCAACAACAACCACAACUGCUGCCCUAACAACAACAACUACUGCAGCCCCAACAACAACUGCUACAGCUGCCCCAACAACCACAACUGCUCCCCCAACAACAACAACUACAUCUGCCCCAACAACAACCACAACUGCUGCUCCAACAACCACAACUGCAGUUCCAACAACAACAACUACAGCUGCUCCAACAACAACAACUACAGCUGCCCCAACAACAACAACUACAGCUGCCCCAACAACGACUACAGCUGCUGCGCCAACAACAACCACAACUGCCGCCCCAACAACAACGACUACAGCCGCCACAACAACAACCACAACAACAGCCCAGACAACAACAACUACAGCUGCCCCAACAACAACCACAACAGCCGCCCCAACAACAACAACAACUACAGCUGCCCCAACAACAACCACAACUGCUGCUCCAACAACCACAACUGCAGCUCCAACAACAACAACUACAGCUGCCCCAACAACCACAACUGCAGCCCCAACAACAACAACUACAGCUGCCCCAACAACAACCACAACUGCUACAGCUGCCCCAACAACAACAACUACAGCCCCAACAACAACAACAACUACAGCUGCCCCAACAACUGCUACAACUGCCCCUACAACAACAACAGCCGCCCCAACAACGACUACAGCUGCCCCAACAACAACUACUGCAGCCCCAACAACAACAACUACAGCUGCCCCAACAACAACCACAACUGCCGCCCCAACAACAACAACUACAGCUGCCCCAACAACAACCACAACAGCCGCCCCAACAACAACAACUACAGCUGCCCCAACAACAACCACAACAGCCGCCCCAACAACCACAACUGCAGCUCCAACAAAAACCACAACAAGCGCCCACACAACAACAACUACAGCUGCCCCAACAACAACCACAACCGCUGCCCCAACAACAACAAUUGCAGUCACAACAACAACAAUUACAGCUGCACCGACAACAACCACAACUGCAGCGCCAACAACAACAACUGCAGCUCCAACAACAACAACUACAGCUGCCCCAACAACAACCACAACUGCUGCGCCAACAACUACAACGCCAGGCCCAACAACAACCACAACAGCCACCCCAAAAACAACUACAGCUGCCCCAACCACAACAGCUGCCCCAACAACUGCUGCUACAGUAGCCCAAACAACAUCCAUAACUGAUGUGCCAACAACUACAACUGCUGCCCCAACAACAAGCACAACAACUACAUUCACAACAACAACUACUACAGGUGCACCAACAACAACAACUACAGCUGCCCCAACAACAACAACUACAGCUGCGCCACCAACCACAACAACAACAACUACAGCUGCCCCAUCAACAACCACAACAACUGCAGUCCCAACAACAACUACUACAGCUGCACCAACAACAACCUCAACAACCACAACUGCUGCGCCAACAACUACAGCUGCCCAAACAACAACCACAACUGCUGCACCAACAACUACAACACCAGGCCCAACAACAACCACAACAGAUGCCCCAACAACAACAACUACUGCUGCCCCAACAACAACCACAACAACUGCUGUACCAACAACAACUAGUACAGCUUCACCAACAACAACCACAACAACCACAACUGUUUCACCAACAACAAUUACAACUACAGUGACAACCACAGCUUCUCAAACAACCACAACCACAACAGCUAGCCCAACAACAACAACUACACCUGCUCCAACAACAACCAUAUCUGCAGCACCAACAACAACCACAACAACCACCCCCACAUCAACAACUACAGGUGCCCAAACAACAACCACAACAACUUCAGUCCCAAAAACAACUACUACAGCUACACCAACAACAACCACGACAACUUUCCAAACUACAACCACAACAGCUGUGCCAACAACUACAACUGCAGCCCCAACAACAACCACAACAACUGCCCCAACAACGACAACUACAGCAUCCCCAUUAACAACCACAACUGCAGCCACGAGCACAGCUGCUUUAACAAGCACAACAGCCGCACCAACUACAACCACAACAGGUGCCCCAACAACAACCACAACAGCAGCCCCAACAACCACGACUGCUGCCCCUACAAGGACCACAACAGCUGCCCCAACAACAUCUACAAUUGCAGCCCCAACUACAACAACUACAGCUGUGGUGACAACAACCUCAACCACAACUACAACAGCUGCCCCAACAACAACCACAGCUGCUCCAACAGCAACCUCAACUACCCCAACAACAACCACAGCCAGUACAACAACAUCUAUAACUACCCCUACAACAACCUCAAGUAUCCCAACAACAAGUACAACCACUACAAAAACCUCAGCAACUACCCCAACAACAAGCACAACUACCCCAACAACUACAACCACUACAACGACAUCAGCAACGACCCGAACAACAACCUCAACUACCCCAACAACAAGUACAACCACUACAAAAACAUCAGCAACUACCCAAAGAACAAGCACAACUACCCCAACAACAACUACAACCACUACAACGACAUCAGCAACUACCCCAACAACAACCACAACCACAGCAACUACAACAACAUCAACAACUACCCCUACAACAACCUCAAGUAUCCCAACCACAAGUACAACCACUACAAAAACCUCAGCAACUACCCCAACAACAAGCACAACUACCCCAACAACUACAACCACUACAACGACAUCAGCAACGACCCCAACAACAACCUCAACUGCCCCAACAACAAGUACAACCACUACAACAACCUCAGCAACCACACCAACAACAACCCCAACAACAACCAGAACUACUGCAAGAACCACUUCCUCUGCCAUGGUGAACAACAUCAGCUUCCUUACAUUAGUUCUGGUUCUGAUGUCACAUGUACUCAGCUCAUAUUUGUAACAUUUUUAAGUUCACAUCCUGAAAAUGAAGUAAUAAACCAAAGUACAUGUGAAGUUUUGAAAUUAUUAAGUAACCAGGUUUACAACCACUACAAAAACCUCAGCAACUACCCCAACAACAAGCACAACUACCCCAACAACUACAACCACUACAACGACAUCAGCAACGACCCCAACAACAACCUCAACUGCCCCAACAACAAGUACAACCACUACAACAACCUCAGCAACCACCCCAACAACAACUUCAACUACCCCAACAACAAGUACAACCACCAGAACAACCUCAGCAACCACCCCAACAACAACCCCAACAACAACCAGAACUACUGCAAGAACCACUUCCUCUGCCAUGGUGAACAACAUCAGCUUCCUUACAUUAGUUCUGGUUCUGAUGUCACAUGUACUCAGCUCAUAUUUGUAACAUUUUUAAGUUCACAUCCUGAAAAUGAAGUAAUAAACCAAAGUACAUGUGAAGUUUUGAAAUUAUUAAGUAACCAGGUUGUAAAGCAUAUUUGAAUUCUUAUUUAUUGUAGUUUUAGGGGGGGGGGGGGGUUCAGAUCAGACAUGUUUGAUGUUUUCCUCCCUGAGAUGUUGUUUGUAUGUGUAUCAUCCAAGCGUGUGAUCAGGGGACUAAUAUUAACAAUAUUGUGAUGUCUACAAUCUCAACACUGAUCUUAUCAUUGCACUUUUCAAAAAUAUCAUAAAUAAAGUCUCUUUGGAUUGAUUAAUGAGUGUCCCCUGACUGUUUUAUGAUGAGAAUGGUUUCUCUUAAUAAUACUUUUUCUACAAACCUGUUCACAGUCACAGCGUAAAAUGUAGCAGCAGAAAAAUGUCACAGAGCAUGUGUGAAACAGCACUGCAACAGUCAGUGUUGUUGGCUGUUUCAGGAGGACAAAAGCAGAGAGACACUUGCAUUCAAGCUGUGUCUGCACACACCUUUAACCAGGACAAUAUCUACCAUUACUUCACCUGCACAUAUUUAUAUGAAUGCUGAUGUUAUCUCAUGUCGCUGGCUUAUAAAACAUCACACUUGCUUUCACUGUGAUGGACAGCUUACAAGUAACAAGUUCUAUUAAAUUAUGAUGUAACUUCAUAU
Astatotilapia calliptera (eastern happy) is the source of this 9287-nucleotide long non-coding RNA. The record is from Ensembl. NCBI's taxonomy places the organism in Eukaryota, Metazoa, Chordata, Actinopteri, Cichliformes, Cichlidae.